RNAcentral lists this ribosomal RNA (1694 nucleotides) under metagenome. RNAcentral describes it as "bacterial LSU rRNA". It matches the Rfam family "Bacterial large subunit ribosomal RNA", at positions 1246 to 2925 of the family's 2925-position model. The record is from RNAcentral.
UUCUGCGAAGGUGUGCUGUGAGGCAUGCUGGAGGUAUCAGAAGUGCGAAUGCUGACAUAAGUAACGAUAAAGCGGGUGAAAAGCCCGCUCGCCGGAAGACCAAGGGUUCCUGUCCAACGUUAAUCGGGGCAGGGUGAGUCGACCCCUAAGGCGAGGCCGAAAGGCGUAGUCGAUGGGAAACAGGUUAAUAUUCCUGUACUUGGUGUUACUGCGAAGGGGGGACGGAGAAGGCUAUGUUGGCCGGGCGACGGUUGUCCCGGUUUAAGCGUGUAGGCUGGUUUUCCAGGCAAAUCCGGAAAAUCAAGGCUGAGGCGUGAUGACGAGGUACUACGGUGCUGAAGCAACAAAUGCCCUGCUUCCAGGAAAAGCCUCUAAGCAUCAGGUAACAUCAAAUCGUACCCCAAACCGACACAGGUGGUCAGGUAGAGAAUACCAAGGCGCUCGAGAGAACUCGGGUGAAGGAACUAGGCAAAAUGGUGCCGUAACUUCGGGAGAAGGCACGCUGAUAUGUAGGUGAGGUCCCUCGCGGAUGGAGCUGAAAUCAGUCGAAGAUACCAGCUGGCUGCAACUGUUUAUUAAAAACACAGCACUGUGCAAACACGAAAGUGGACGUAUACGGUGUGACGCCUGCCCGGUGCCGGAAGGUUAAUUGAUGGGGUUAGCGCAAGCGAAGCUCUUGAUCGAAGCCCCGGUAAACGGCGGCCGUGACAAUAACGGUCCUAAGGUAGCGAAAUUCCUUGUCGGGUAAGUUCCGACCUGCACGAAUGGCGUAAUGAUGGCCAGGCUGUCUCCACCCGAGACUCAGUGAAAUUGAACUCGCUGUGAAGAUGCAGUGUACCCGCGGCAAGACGGAAAGACCCCGUGAACCUUUACUAUAGCUUGACACUGAACAUUGAGCCUUGAUGUGUAGGAUAGGUGGGAGGCUUUGAAGUGUGGACGCCAGUCUGCAUGGAGCCGACCUUGAAAUACCACCCUUUAAUGUUUGAUGUUCUAACGUUGACCCGUAAUCCGGGUUGCGGACAGUGUCUGGUGGGUAGUUUGACUGGGGCGGUCUCCUCCUAAAGAGUAACGGAGGAGCACGAAGGUUGGCUAAUCCUGGUCGGACAUCAGGAGGUUAGUGCAAUGGCAUAAGCCAGCUUGACUGCGAGCGUGACGGCGCGAGCAGGUGCGAAAGCAGGUCAUAGUGAUCCGGUGGUUCUGAAUGGAAGGGCCAUCGCUCAACGGAUAAAAGGUACUCCGCGGAUAACAGGCUGAUACCGCCCAAGAGUUCAUAUCGACGGCGGUGUUUGGCACCUCGAUGUCGGCUCAUCACAUCCUGGGGCUGAAGUAGGUCCCAAGGAUAUGGCUGUUCGCCAUUUAAAGUGGUACGCGAGCUGGGUUUAGAACGUCGUGAGACAGUUCGGUCCCUAUCUGCCGUGGGCGCUGGAGAACUGAGGGGGGGCUGCUCCCAGUACGAGAGGACCGGAGUGGACGCAUCACUGGUGUUCGGGUUGUCAUGCCAAUGGCACUGCCCGGUAGCUAAAUGCGGAAGAGAUAAAUGCUGGAAGCAUCUAAGCACGAAACUUGCCCCGAGAUGAGUUCUCCCUGACCCUUUAAGGGUCCUGAAGGAACGUUGAAGACGACGACGUUGAUAGGCCGGGUGUGUAAGCGCAGCGAUGCGUUGAGCUAACCGGUACUAAUGAACCGUGAGGCUU